CGGGAGGGUGCCUACCAUGCAGUCGAGCGGAGAUGAAGAAGUUUACUUUGGAUUCUUAGCGGCGGACGGGUGAGUAACGCGUGGGCAACCUACCCUGUACAGGGGGAUAACAAUGGGAAACCAUUGCUAAUACCCCAUGACGCCUUUUGGGGGCAUCCCCAAAAGGUCAAAGAACUUCGGUACAGGAUGGGCCCGCGUCUGAUUAGCUAGUUGGUGAGGUAAUGGCUCACCAAGGCGACGAUCAGUAGCCGGCCUGAGAGGGUGAACGGCCACACUGGAACUGAGACACGGUCCAGACUCCUACGGGAGGCAGCAGUGGGGAAUAUUGCACAAUGGGGGAAACCCUGAUGCAGCAACGCCGCGUGAGCGAUGAAGGCCUUCGGGUCGUAAAGCUCUGUCCUAAGGGAAGAUAAUGACGGUACCUUAGGAGGAAGCCCCGGCUAACUACGUGCCAGCAGCCGCGGUAAUACGUAGGGGGCAAGCGUUAUCCGGAAUCAUUGGGCGUAAAGGGUGCGUAGGCUGCCCUAUAGGUCAGAGGUCAAAGGCUACGGCUCAACCGUAGUAAGCCUUUGAAACUGUAGGGCUUGAGUGCAGGAGAGGAGAGUGGAAUUCCUAGUGUAGCGGUGAAAUGCGUAGAUAUUAGGAGGAACACCAGUGGCGAAGGCGACUCUCUGGACUGCAACUGACGCUGAGGCACGAAAGCGUGGGUAGCGAACAGGAUUAGAUACCCUGGUAGUCCACGCCGUAAACGAUGAGUGCUAGGUGUUGGGGGUCGAACCUAGGUGCCGAAGUUAACGCAUUAAGCACUCCGCCUGGGGAGUACGUACGCAAGUAUGAAACUCAAAGGAAUUGACGGGGACCCGCACAAGCAGCGGAGCAUGUGGUUUAAUUCGAAGCAACGCGAAGAACCUUACCUGGACUUGACAUCCCUCUGACCGAUUCUUAACCCGAAUCCUUCCCUUCGGGGACAGAGGAGACAGUGUGCAUGGUUGUCGUCAGCUCGUGUCGUGAGAUGUUGGGUUAAGUCCCGCAACGAGCGCAACCCUUGUCUUUAGUUGCCAUCAUAAAGUUGGGCACUCUUAGAGAGAACUGCCG
RNAcentral lists this ribosomal RNA (1095 nucleotides) under uncultured bacterium. Its description in RNAcentral is "bacterial SSU rRNA". It matches the Rfam family "Bacterial small subunit ribosomal RNA", at positions 36 to 1154 of the family's 1533-position model. The record is from RNAcentral.